GGGGUUGUGGCUCAGUGGUACAGCGCUUGCCUAGCAUGCAUGAGGCACUGGGUUCGAACCCCAGCACCACA
This 71-nucleotide transfer RNA is filed under the name Marmota monax (woodchuck). RNAcentral describes it as "tRNA.Ala". It matches the Rfam family "tRNA". Rfam says of the family: Transfer RNA (tRNA) molecules are approximately 80 nucleotides in length. Their secondary structure includes four short double-helical elements and three loops (D, anti-codon, and T loops). Lineage: Eukaryota; Metazoa; Chordata; Mammalia; Rodentia; Sciuridae. The record is from RNAcentral.